Molecule: ribosomal RNA, 424 nt
Filed under: uncultured prokaryote
Description: bacterial SSU rRNA
Rfam family: Bacterial small subunit ribosomal RNA
Source: RNAcentral
UGAGGAAUAUUGCGCAAUGGGGGCAACCCUGACGCAGCCAUGCCGCGUGAGUGAAGAAGGCCCUAGGGUUGUAAAGCUCUUUCAGAUGCGAAUAUAAUGAAGGUAACAUCAGAAGAAGCUCCGGCUAAAUUCGUGCCAGCAGCCGCGGUAAUACGAAUGGAGCGAGCGUUGUUCGGAAUCAUUGGGCGUAAAGCGUAUGUAGGCGGAACAGAAAGUCAGAAGUGAAAUCCCGAGGCUCAACCUCGGAAUUGCUUUUGAAACUCCUGUUCUAGUAUCCCGGAGGGGUUGACGGAAUUCCGAGUGUAGAGGUGAAAUUCGCAGAUAUUCGGAGGAACACCAGUGGCGUAGGCGGUCAACUGGACGGGUAUAGACGCUGAGAUACGAAAGCGUGGGUAGCAAACAGGAUUAGAUACCCGCGUAGUCC